UAGGGAAUCUUCCACAAUGGGCGAAAGCCUGAUGGAGCAACGCCGCGUGUGUGAUGAAGGCUUUCGGGUCGUAAGCACUGUUGUAUGGGAAGAACAGCUAGAAUAGGAAAUGAUUUUAGUUUGACGGUACCAUACCAGAAAGGGACGGCUAAAUACGUGCUAG
This 163-nucleotide ribosomal RNA is filed under the name uncultured bacterium. RNAcentral's name for it is "partial 16S ribosomal RNA". It matches the Rfam family "Bacterial small subunit ribosomal RNA", at positions 355 to 511 of the family's 1533-position model. The record is from RNAcentral.